Long non-coding RNA from Argiope bruennichi, 1202 nucleotides. RefSeq lists it as uncharacterized. The transcript is spliced from 3 exons. The record is from RefSeq and is a predicted model, not a curated record. Lineage: Eukaryota; Metazoa; Arthropoda; Arachnida; Araneae; Araneidae.
CCCUAAUCGAGCAUUAUUUAUAUAGUAAAAUUCUGAAAACUGGAAGCGCCCUAUUCCUUGCAAUCUAGAAGUUGAUUGACUUUCCUCACAAGGUUAUCCCCAUUCGAAUUCAAAUGGCAGACAUUGUAGACGAAAUCAACUGCAGAUAAGAAUGACUAUUUCAUCUUUGGAGUUUUAAAUGUUAUGGCCAAAUUUGGGAGUGUAAAUCUUGAAUGAUGUCUUGGCGCACUCCGUUCACUCGGCAUUAAGAAAGGCCUUAAUCUCUAUCAAGUUGGGCAUCUGGCCGAUUCUUGAUUCUGAAAUCCAUAGAUACCAGCUGGAUGGUAAAACUUCAAAUAUUGAUGUGUUUAUAUUUGUAAACUUUUUGAAAUAAGUAAUAUACGUCAUUUUCUCAUGUGACUGAACUGAUACUUAACCAAAAACUCGACUUUCAUCACAAAUGUUCUUAAAAAUGCGCAUCGAGACCUAAAAUUAAAUAGUUUUGUAUGAUUAUGCAAGGGAACUUUAAUGCCUCUAGUAGUGGUUUCGAAUUUUUCUGUAAAUAUCUUUAAAAUAUUAAUUUUGUAUAGCUAAUCUUGAAUUGUCUCGAAUGAAGCGGACAACAUUUUACACUAUUUGGAGAUUCAUGCUCCCAUAAGGUGUGUUCGAUUCAGUCAAAAUUGGCAGCAAAUACAAGUAAUCGAUGUAACACUUAAAUAAAUGUAUAUUAAAUCUCUAAAUAAAACAUUAUUUGAAUGUUAACAUAUAUCCAAAGUUACGAUAAUAGAUCACAAACUCCUUUGUUUGGUACUUAUUCAAUCUGUUUCAUUUCUAACAUAUUUGGCGAGUUAUACUUAAAUCCUUAAAACAAUAGCCCGAUAGAUAUGCGUGGUAGCGACUGUCGCGUUAUAUAAAAACGCUGUUGUAAGUAAAGGACGCCAAACAUCGCGUAUGUUGAAAUCGUCUUUUAUGGUCGUAGUAAUUUGAAACUACUUCAAUAGUUGAUCUUCUGAAAUACUUCCCAUUGUUUCCAAACUCUAAAAUUAUCUUUAGGUUUCCUAGGCUUAAUGGAAAAUGCAAAUAUAACCGAUAUUUUAAACUGCUUUUACAAUAUUCAUAAAAUUCUUAAUUUCAUUCUAACUUUAAGCAUUUAAUUUUAAGAAUUCGGGUCUUGGUUAGUAUAAAUUUUAAAUUUGCAAAUGCUAUAGAAUAUUAAGUUUGUG